RNAcentral lists this ribosomal RNA (253 nucleotides) under uncultured bacterium. RNAcentral describes it as "partial 16S ribosomal RNA". It matches the Rfam family "Bacterial small subunit ribosomal RNA", at positions 524 to 776 of the family's 1533-position model. The record is from RNAcentral.
UACGUAGGGUGCAAGCGUUGUCCGGAAUUAUUGGGCGUAAAGAGCUCGUAGGCGGUCUGUCGCGUCGGCUGUGAAAUCCCGGAGCUCAACUCCGGGUCUGCAGUCGAUACGGGCAAACUGGAGUACUGCAGGGGAGACUGGAAUUCCUGGUGUAGCGGUGAAAUGCGCAGAUAUCAGGAGGAACACCGGUGGCGAAGGCGGGUCUCUGGGCAGUAACUGACGCUGAUGCACGAAAGUGUGGGGAUCAAACAGG